Molecule: ribosomal RNA, 480 nt
Filed under: uncultured bacterium
Lineage: Bacteria
Description: bacterial SSU rRNA
Rfam family: Bacterial small subunit ribosomal RNA
Source: RNAcentral
GACGACGCUGGCGGCGUGCCUAACACAUGCAAGUCGAGCGAAGAAUACAUAAAGAAAUCUUCGGAUGGAAUUAUGUAUUUCUUAGCGGCGGACGGGUGAGUAACGCGUGAGGAACCUGCCUUGUACUAGGGGAUAGCCUCGGGAAACCGGGAUUAAUACCCUAUGACACUUGAAAGUCGCAUGACUUUCAAGUCAAAGCGAUUUAGCGGUACAAGAUGGCCUCGCGUCCCAUUAGCUAGUUGGCGAGGUAAUGGCUCACCAAGGCGACGAUGGGUAGCCGGCCUGAGAGGGUGAACGGCCACACUGGAACUGAGACACGGUCCAGACUCCUACGGGAGGCAGCAGUGGGGAAUAUUGCACAAUGGAGGAAACUCUGAUGCAGCGACGCCGCGUGAGCGAUGAAGGUUUUCGAAUCGUAAAGCUCUGUCCUAAGGGACGAUAAUGACGGUACCUUAGGAGGAAGCCCCGGCUAACUACGUG